UAGAGUUUGAUCCUGGCUCAGAUUGAACGCUGGCGGCAGGCCUAACACAUGCAAGUCGAGCGGUAACACAGAGGAGCUUGCUCCUUGGGUGACGAGCGGCGGACGGGUGAGUAAUGCCUGGGGAUCUGCCCGAUAGAGGGGGAUAACUACGGGAAACUGUAGCUAAUACCGCAUAAUGUCUACGGACCAAAGUGGGGGCUCUUCGGACCUCAUGCUAUCGGAUGAACCCAGGUGGGAUUAGCUAGUUGGUGAGGUAAUGGCUUACCAAGGCGACGAUCUCUAACUGGUUUGAGAGAAUGACCAGUCACACUGGAACUGAGACACGGUCCAGACUCCUACGGGAGGCAGCAGUGGGGAAUAUUGCACAAUGGGCGCAAGCCUGAUGCAGCCAUGCCGCGUGUGUGAAGAAGGCCUUCGGGUUGUAAAGCACUUUCAGCGGGGAGGAAGGGUCACUAGUUAAUAUCUAGUGGCAUUGACGUUACUCGCAGAAGGAGCACCGGCUAACUCCGUGCCAGCAGCCGCGGUAAUACGGAGGGUGCAAGCGUUAAUCGGAAUUACUGGGCGUAAAGCGCACGCAGGCGGUUUGUUAAGUCAGAUGUGAAAUCCCCGAGCUCAACUUGGGAACUGCAUUUGAAACUGUCCAGCUAGAGUCUUGUAGAGGGGGGUAGAAUUCCAGGUGUAGCGGUGAAAUGCGUAGAGAUCUGGAGGAAUACCGGUGGCGAAGGCGGCCCCCUGGACAAAGACUGACGCUCAGGUGCGAAAGCGUGGGGAGCAAACAGGAUAAGAUACCCUGGUAGUCCACGCUGUAAAC
RNAcentral lists this ribosomal RNA (811 nucleotides) under uncultured bacterium. RNAcentral's name for it is "bacterial SSU rRNA". It matches the Rfam family "Bacterial small subunit ribosomal RNA", at positions 1 to 807 of the family's 1533-position model. The record is from RNAcentral.